This 936-nucleotide ribosomal RNA is filed under the name Triticum aestivum (bread wheat). RNAcentral describes it as "partial small subunit ribosomal RNA". The record is from RNAcentral. Lineage: Eukaryota; Viridiplantae; Streptophyta; Magnoliopsida; Poales; Poaceae.
AUGUAUGGAGAACCAGUUUGGAGAAAUAAACACCGUACAUGGAAACGGUUUCGUGAUCUACAAGCCAAGAGUUCCCUGCCUUGGGUGGUCAUAGGGGAUUUGAAUGAAAUUUUGUACUCUUCAGAGAAAGAGGGAGGGAAUGCAAGACCCUUGCCAUAUAUUACGGUGUUUAGGGAAUGCUUGUCCGAUUGCUUGCUGGAAGAUCUUGGUUAUAUUGGUAACAGAUUCACCUGGAAGAGAGGGGGGACAAGAGAAAGACUAGACAGAGCAGUUGGGAAUGAGGGAUGGUCCAGUAUGUUCCCAGAUGCUGGUGUUCAUCACUUGGCGAUGGAUGGCUCUGACCAUCGACCAAUUAUGAUUGAUACAACCACAUAUACGACUCCUUCUGUUGGGAGGGGACGACGAAGGAGAAGGUUUGAGGCAAAAUGGCUCAGGGAGGAGGCAGUGGGAGACAUGGUGGCAGCUGCGUGGGAUCACUCCCCACCAAACACGUCACUCAUGGCUAAGCUCGAAUCAGUUCAUAAUGAGUUGCAUGAGUGGGAUAGAAAUAUUUUGAAGGGGCCGCGCAAGAAAAUUAAAGAUCUGACGCGCGAACUCGACCGCAUUCUGGCGGGACCUAUGGACGAGCUUUCUACUCGUCGGCAGCAUGAAAUAACAUUGCAGUUGGAGACAGCGCUGGAACAAGAAGAAGUGUACCACAUGCAGCGGAGUCGGAGUGAUUUCCUGAAAUAUGGAGACCGAAACACUGAAUUCUUUCAUAAGAAUGCGUCAGCUAGAAGGAAGAAAAAUACCAUUCUAAAGCUUAAGGAUGCGAAUGGUGUGGUCAGGGAGGGCAACGAGGAGAUGAAGCCGCUGAUACAAUCUUCUCCAAUCUUUUUACAUCAGAGGUACUUGGUACUGAUGAAACGUUACUCAGUAGAGUCCAACCCAAAGUGA